Caenorhabditis elegans is the source of this 21-nucleotide non-coding RNA. Lineage: Eukaryota; Metazoa; Nematoda; Chromadorea; Rhabditida; Rhabditidae. The record is from Ensembl.
UAUUCUGCUCAUAUCUUGUAA